Molecule: ribosomal RNA, 460 nt
Filed under: uncultured bacterium
Lineage: Bacteria
Description: partial 16S ribosomal RNA
Rfam family: Bacterial small subunit ribosomal RNA
Source: RNAcentral
CCUACGGGAGACAGCAGUGAGGAAUAUUGGUCAAUGGGCGCGAGCCUGAACCAGCCAAGUAGCGUGAAGGAUGACUGCCCUAUGGGUUGUAAACUUCUUUUAUAAAGGAGUAAAGUGAGCCACGUGUACCCUUUUGUAUAGACUUUAUGAAUAAGGAACGGCUAACGUCGUGCCAGCAGCCGCGGUAAUUCGGAGGAACCGAAGGUUUUCCGGAUUUAUUGGGUUUAAAGGGAUCGUAGAUGGGUUGUUAAGUCAGUUGUGAAAGUUUGCGGCUCAACCGUAGAAUUGCAGUUGAUACUGGCGGUCUUGAGUACGGUUGAGGUAGGCGGAAUUCGUGGUGUAGCGGUGAAAUGCUUAGAUAUCACGAAGAACUCCGAUUGCGAAGGCAGCUUACUAGACUGCCACUGACAUUGAUGCUCGAAAGUGUGGGUAUCAAACAGGAUUAGAUACCCUUGUAGUC